Molecule: ribosomal RNA, 465 nt
Filed under: uncultured bacterium
Lineage: Bacteria
Description: partial 16S ribosomal RNA
Rfam family: Bacterial small subunit ribosomal RNA
Source: RNAcentral
GACGAACGCUGGCGGCGUGCUUAACACAUGCAAGUCGAACGGAAAGGCCCUGCUUGCAGGGUACUCGAGUGGCGAACGGGUGAGUAACACGUGGGUGAUCUGCCCUGCACUUCGGGAUAAGCUUGGGAAACUGGGUCUAAUACCGGAUAGGAGCCAUCUUUAGUGUGGUGGUUGGAAAGUUUUUUCGGUGUAGGAUGAGCUCGCGGCCUAUCAGCUUGUUGGUGGGGUAAUGGCCUACCAAGGCGGCGACGGGUAGCCGGCCUGAGAGGGUGUACGGCCACAUUGGGACUGAGAUACGGCCCAGACUCCUACGGGAGGCAGCAGUGGGGAAUAUUGCACAAUGGGCGGAAGCCUGAUGCAGCGACGCCGCGUGGGGGAUGAAGGCCUUCGGGUUGUAAACUCCUUUCGCUAGGGACGAAGCUUUUUGUGACGGUACCUAGAUAAGAAGCACCGGCUAACUACGUG